RNAcentral lists this ribosomal RNA (497 nucleotides) under uncultured bacterium. Its description in RNAcentral is "partial 16S ribosomal RNA". It matches the Rfam family "Bacterial small subunit ribosomal RNA", at positions 28 to 507 of the family's 1533-position model. The record is from RNAcentral.
GAUGAACGCUAGCGGCGUGCCUAAUACAUGCAAGUCGAGCGAACGGACGAGAAGCUUGCUUCUCUGAUGUUAGCGGCGGACGGGUGAGUAACACGUGGAUAACCUACCUAUAAGACUGGGAUAACUUCGGGAAACCGGAGCUAAUACCGGAUGAUAUUUUGAACCGCAUGGUUCAAAAGUGAAAGACGGUCUUGCUGUCACUUAUAGAUGGAUCCGCGCUGCAUUAGCUAGUUGGUAAGGUAACGGCUUACCAUGGCAACGAUGCAUAGCCGACCUGAGAGGGUGAUCGGCCACACUGGAACUGAGACACGGUCCAGACUCCUACGGGAGGCAGCAGUAGGGAAUCUUCCGCAAUGGGCGAAAGCCUGACGGAGCAACGCCGCGUGAGUGAUGAAGGUCUUCGGAUCGUAAAACUCUGUUAUUAGGGAAGAACAUAUGUGUAAGUAACUGUGCACAUCUUGACGGUACCUAAUCAGAAAGCCACGGCUAACUACGUG